RNAcentral lists this ribosomal RNA (492 nucleotides) under uncultured bacterium. RNAcentral describes it as "partial 16S ribosomal RNA". It matches the Rfam family "Bacterial small subunit ribosomal RNA", at positions 29 to 507 of the family's 1533-position model. The record is from RNAcentral.
AGUGAACGCUGGCGGUAGGCCUAACACAUGCAAGUCGAACGGCAGCACAGUAAGAGCUUGCUCUUACGGGUGGCGAGUGGCGGACGGGUGAGGAAUACAUCGGAAUCUACUUUUUCGUGGGGGAUAACGUAGGGAAACUUACGCUAAUACCGCAUACGACCUACGGGUGAAAGCAGGGGAUCUUCGGACCUUGCGCGAUUGAAUGAGCCGAUGUCGGAUUAGCUAGUUGGCGGGGUAAAGGCCCACCAAGGCGACGAUCCGUAGCUGGUCUGAGAGGAUGAUCCGCCAACACGGAAAUGAGACACGGUCCAGAAUCCUACGGGAGGCAGCAGUGGGGAAUAUUUGACAAUGGGGGGAAGCCUGAUCCAGCCAUACCGGGUGGGUGAAGGAGGCCUUCGGGUUGUAAAGCCCUUUUGUUGGGAAAGAAAAGCAGCAGGUUAAUACCCCGCUGUUCUGACGGUACCCAAAGAAUAAGCACCGGCUAACUUCGUG